AUGCAGAAUUCAGUGGAAUCAUCGAAUCUUUGAACGCACAUUGCGCCCCUUGGUAUYCCGAGGGGCAUGCCUGUUCGAGCGUCAUU
RNAcentral lists this ribosomal RNA (86 nucleotides) under uncultured fungus. RNAcentral's name for it is "partial 5.8S ribosomal RNA". It matches the Rfam family "5.8S ribosomal RNA", at positions 72 to 154 of the family's 154-position model. Rfam says of the family: 5.8S ribosomal RNA (5.8S rRNA) is a component of the large subunit of the eukaryotic ribosome. It is transcribed by RNA polymerase I as part of the 45S precursor that also contains 18S and 28S rRNA. The record is from RNAcentral. Lineage: Eukaryota; Fungi.